This is a non-coding RNA of Xyrichtys novacula (pearly razorfish), 8430 nucleotides long. NCBI's taxonomy places the organism in Eukaryota, Metazoa, Chordata, Actinopteri, Labriformes, Labridae. The record is from the annotation of a GenBank genome assembly.
CAGCUCUCUAGAGGGCAGCAGUAAAAAUUUCCUUAAUACUGACUCAAUCUCUGGAAAGACUGUUUGGAAAGAGAAAUGCCUGUUUUGCAUGACUUUACAGCCCAACAGGAAGUCAUCGCAACUUUAAACAUAAAUAGCAAUCAGGCCACGAGUAAACCAAUCAGCAGCUUUGCUUCCAAAUAUGCACCAAUCAAUUAGUGAAUGGGUUUCCUUCCAAAUUAACCGACCAAAUCAAAGCAUCUCAGGAAACACGUUACGGGUAAUCUACAGUUUGUUUUGCUGAAAUGCAGACCCUCUGGUACGAUGCACUCUCACUUUCUGGACUUUUUAAUGCAGCAGAGAUUGUGCAGAUUGUAAACAAUAUCUGAUCGCCUCUACUUCAUCAGUGCCCUUUCUUUAACUGUAAAAGACCGUUCCCCUUCCCAGCAGGCUGUUAAAAGACAGCCUCUUGGCCUCAUUUGUACUCCAGCCGCACUCGCACAGCUGCCUCCCAGCCUACAACUGGAGCUCCAUCACCUGCAUCCAGCUGCAAACCACAAACAGAUUGUAGCUUUCCCCCGGAGGCGUAUUUUGUACAGUCAGACCAUCAUCUGCACAGAAGAUGAAGAGGCAGAGUAAAGCCGGCCUCUUUUGCCCAUCAAUGAAGGACAGUGUGCACGGGUCCAAGGGGUUAGUGCCAGUGAUGACUGAUACAGUAGUAGCUACGAACGUUGUCUGAGCAUGUGACAACAUUUCCCAAACCACUAAACAUUGAAAACAGACCAACGAGGAGGCAACAUGUUGCAUUGAUUUAGACAUUUGACAAAUAGCUCUGGAAUGAGUAUCCCCAUCCAGCCAUUUGUAAGUGGUUGCCAUAUAAGUAGUGGAUAAAAGGAAACAAGGACUCUUAUUUUAAGAACAGGAAAUGAGACAAUGACAGCAGACAAACUUAUCACAUAUUGAGAUGUCUGCGGUAUCAGUGGUGGGAUAUUCUCCCUGUAUGGUGCCUUUUAUGUCUCUCCUUGUGGAAAUCAUCUCAUUCAGAAUAUUUUAACCGCAUCUGGUGCACUGCUGUGAGUUAGUGUCCACGUGUUUACAGUGCUGGAUCAUACUGUAUGAUAUAGAGUAUUUCUCCCAAGAAAUUCAACCUUAAAUUACCAUUCCCAUUCCCACUUUAGUUUUUCUUACCGGAACUUCUGCUGUGUGUCUUUGCUUGUGUGUUUUGUUGAAUCUUUAUUUGCAUUAUAAGAAAUCGCUUUAGUUGAGUGGUUAAGGACUGAAAAACAGGUGUAAACAUAUUCCUAUCUGAACUCUAAAUCUUUACUUGACACUCCGCUCUGAAGCUGAGACUGGACUGCAAUUAAGUAAAUUCACACAGUUGCCAUUUUCUUUUGUUGUCACACUUCAAGUCAUGUUGUCCAAGUGGACCAUGCUGUUAUAACAUCUUACCUGAUCCAGGUUUGUUGGGAAAUUGUCGCAUAUCUGGUAACUGUUAUCAUUGAACUCAUUUUUGAUUACUGACCUAGUAUAACGAUAAUGGAUGGUUAAAAAAAUGUAGGGGUUUGGAACAUUCAGGAAAUUACCACAUAGGCUUAAAUAACUGAUAAGCUAGAUGGUUAAUUCUGACAGCUUAGUGCCAAAGAGAUAUGAUAAUAAUGUAUAAAUGUAGUGAUGGCCUACAAGCAAGAAAUGUGCACCUUUUGAUGGUUUGUUGUAUGUCUCUUAAGCACAUGCAUGCUCACCUCCAUGGCCGAUUGAAAACAACUGAGACCCUAAAGUGCAGAAGACUCCUUUCAGUGGUUUAAACUCAGUGUCGUCUUUGCUUCCCAUUGUGUAUUGUGACUUUUUCUUUUUUUGUCGGUUCAUCCACAGUUUUAUUCAUACUUGUGGGCCACAAAAAGCCACCACUAACUGCGUCAGUCUAGGAUCAGGAUCUAGGAUCAGAAACAUGUUGUCAUGUGAUUGCAGAAAACAAACAGGACGUGUGCCAUUGGGUCGCACCAAUUAAGAAUUACAGAAUGUUGCAGCUUGUACUGGACUGUUAGCAAACCUAUUCCUAACAUAUCAUUGAUGAGUACGAUGUCUUUAACUUUACAGUCGUGAAUGCUAUAUGUUUGUUUCAAAGUUGGUUUACACAUCUACCCUUGAAUAUGCUUGAACACCCGAUUUACCUUACUCUACGUUUUGCUAUCAAGGCCCACAGGUCAUGAAAAUACGAUCAUCGCCGUCCAUUUGGUUUUCCUGAAAAGUCACAAAUGUGGAGCUCCUGUCGGUGAGAGCAGCAUAGUUGAGAAAACAUGAUUACUCACGAUGGCAACGGCUUAAAACAGCACAUGUAAGCAAAAGAAUAAAAUCAUCCUGUUAAAUGUUGCAUAUAAUGACUCCACGACUAUAUUUGUAAAUGACAUGGGACAAAUGCAGCCAUUCGCCUCCCAACCACAACCCUUCUUUUUUUUUUUUUUUUGUUGGUCCUACAGAGUCAGAAUAACUCACCGCUGUCGAGAAGUGUAACAGAAGAGCCAAACACUGCAGGGUCAGAGUUUUUAGGUUACUCAGGGAUUUCAAUAACUGGAAGUCAGAGUUGUGUUGCGACACUGCAACAAGAGCAGUAAGUGUGUUUGAAAUACACAAGAGCCUGAAUGUGAAGACAACAGAGUUUAUGCCAUAAACUAAUGACAAUCAUGCUCUCUUUGGGUGAUGCACUGUCAUUGAUUAUCUGCUUUUCCAACUUCAUGAUUUCAAAGUAUAUCACUGUUCAACAUUUACUCAACUUUGGUUUGUGUAGUUUCCUUGGUCACCAGUGUAAAGAAUAGCUCUUGUGAUUUUGUGUGUGAGUGAUCAUAGGGAGGAAACACGUUAUGAUUAAUAACUGAUGCAUGCAGGCAGAGCGAAAUGAGUUUGUGAAUGCAUGCAAGGCGAGUUGUGCUGUUGGCAACAAUAAUGUUUGACGCAUUACAUGAGGAGUGCGCUUGAUAAUUUAAGAGGAUAUGUUGAAAAGGUUGGAUGAAACUUGUAUUCUUGGUUUUAUGUCUGAAGUAUUUCUCCCUGUCAUUCAGUAUUUAGAAAAAAUAAGGAAGAAUUCAUGUUAACAAUCCCCAAAAACAUGAUUUAUGGCAUUUAUGCUCCACAAUUUUGCAUGCUUUGUUUUGCACAAAAAGAAAAAUCUCCUCAUUAAAAAAAUAUUCAUUUCUUUUUCAAUCCCACUUUGGACUGCUGGGCUCAAGAUGUGUCCUGCUGCAGUCCAAAAAUUUGUUUCUGGGUAGUGUGCUGAUGUGCAGUAGAGGCUUCAAAUUUCACAUGUUGUGUAACUUGCAUAUUGGACCACUUCUACGCAGUAAUGCUCUAAAUAACCAACUAAAAAUCAGCUGAACACACAAAAUACUGUUUAAUCUUUCACCUAAUUUGACCGGCAGUCCUAUUUUUGUCACAAACGUACACAAACAGCCUCAAACAGGAUCAGAGUCUGGUUCUUAAAGUAUUAAGUUUUAUUGUAAACUAUAAAAAUCAUUGGAUAACAGACCAAACACGUGAAAAGGGUUGCAUUACUCUAACUGAACUGUGAAGUUUGACCAUGUGCCAUGAAGAGGAUUUGACUAAAGCAGGUUAUAGGUCCUAAGAGAUAAAAGUUGGAGGUGUGAAAAACUCUGAUUUGUUGAUAAAAACACCCCUUGACUUAAUCUUCCUCUCCCAUCCAUUCCUACUGAUAAGACUAGCUGUUGCUCCCCUCCCACGCCCCUGGUUGUAUUCAGGUGGAGCUUCUGUUUGACGCCACAGGGCCAAGAUCCUAACCUUACUGACCUUUUUUUUUAAUAACUCUGUGACCCAGAGGCCCCAGACAGUACGCCUGGCCGCCUGCUCUGCUUUUAUGAAGGCUUUUCCGGUUCAUCACUGUACGCAUUGUGCCAAAAAGAUGGCAACUAUCAAAAGAGACGGAGGGCCUGAGGUGAGAAAGGUCAAAGAAACGUACAAACAAAGGGAGAAACAGGAGAUAAGGUGUCAGACAAAGAGAUAGCGAAAACAGCGGAGUGAAGAACGUGUUAUCGCCGUCACUGAUUCAGGUCAGAGGGGUGUGAGACAUGAGUUGGCAGAGCUAAGAGCAGGGGCUUGUUGGAAUAUGUGUGGGGCCAUAGGAAGUGCUGUGUGGAGAAGAUAACAGUGUGUGAGUGAGUGUGUGUGUGUUUGUGUGUAUGGUUGUGGAGGUGAGAGGAGGGAGAGAGGUGGUGGUGGUGGUGGUGGGGGGUGAGAGAGAAACGGUGUCCUCAGCCCUGCCCCGCUUUCCUCUAUUCACUGCCCGUAUCCUGUCUGUGUGCUGCUCCCUAAUGGCUUUUAAUGAGCCACCGGUGGAUCCCACCAUUUCCUGCCUUCACACAACAUGCCAGCCAGAGCGCCAGUGAAAGGAAGAGAGAGUUAACUGGGUUGAAAUAGCAACAUGACUGACUGCCUCCAGGGGUGGGCAUUUAUUGUUUGCAACAGGUCCAUAAAGAACAACCAACAUAGUGAUACACAACAACGCAUCCUGGUCUGAUGCUGGGUGUCCUCCCAGCUCAAUUCAGCUCUUCCUUCGUGUGCUCUCUGUGCUGGGUUUUGCUGGUCUAAUGAAGUUUCCUCGUUUUUCCUGGUUGGUCAAGUCAGAAGCUAGAAGUAGUGCUGCAACUAACGAUUAUUUUUUUGUCGACUAGUCGUCCGACUAUUCGUCCGAUUAAUCACGAUUAAUCACUAUCUUCUUUAUUUAUAAACACCUAUUUCUGGGGUGUCGGCGUUUCAGGUGCUCAUACAUCGCCGUGGUGCUGCCAUGGUAGGAAAGCUGAGCUUUGAUCGACGUGUUCUUUUGGUUUGUUCUCCGUAAAAUGUUCCCAAACUUUUGAAGUUUUGGGUCGGAGUUUUGGAGCGUCUUUUUCAGUUUGUUCUGCCAUAAUGUGUGCACUCCUCUUCUGUGUUUGCUCGCGGGAUGUAAACAGCGAGCGCUACUGCCCCCAGCACAUCCUGUAGUGGACUGUAGUUAUAGAUGAGCAUGAGGCGCCGGCAUGUGAUUCUUAACAACAAUAACACGACGCGUCGACGCUUCGUUUUCGUGUCGAUGAAUUUGUUGAGUCGACGUAAUCGAUUACGUCGACUAAUCGUUGCAGCCCUAGCUAGAAGCAAAAAAGGAAAAAUGCAAUCCUGGAAGUCAUCAGCUGACCAUCAUCUUGCCAAAGACGUCAAUAUAGAGAAGUUGUUUGAAGCUCAUAGUCCUGCUAAUGCUGGUUUUAACCGCUUUGACGCUUGACUAUGCCGGUCUUACCAGCAGUGUUGCCUUGUAGCAGGGCUAUCUCAGCAGUAAAAACAAGGCCGAUGAUAAGUUUAGCACGAAUUUUCAUAUUGCUCACAGUACAGGGUGUAACACUGAGCAAGAUGGUUAUUGGCUUUGAUGCUUGUAACCUGCUGACCUGUUAAGCAAACCCACACAAAUCAAGUGUUUUCUAUUUCACCCUUUUUUUCAUGAUGUGCAGCAGUAUUUUUGCAGAGCUAGAGAGUUUAUUAAGAACUUUUAAGACCAGCCUUAUAAUGCAGAUUGAAUUAGACAGGCAUACAAACAGCUGUGGAAAGUGUAAUGACACAUAAAAUGGCUUUUAUCUGAAGCAGAAAUGACACUUCAUUCAAUGUAAUCAGGCUAAUUUACUGAGAAGUCUUGUUGGGAAGAUGGACAAGGCGGUUGGUUAGCCAAACUAACUGGAGCUGGACUCUAGCCAACUUGACACUGAAUCAUGUUAUCUGUACUCAUCGACACGCUGUCACUCCUCUUUGGCCUCAAAAACACUGUAGCACGAAAAACUUCACAAUGAAACACGGGUAUGUUGUGUUGUUUGGCUCAGCACAAAAGCACUGUAAGGGUGAAGCCUCCCUCUUGCAAAAUUGCGGGGCAAAAUUGGUUACAGUCUGUCAUGACAAUUUUCAAUGUCUCAAAUUUUGAGCUAAUAAGCAACCUCAGGGGACCUAGUUUCCUUCCUCAGUUUUUGUGCACUUUGUACUAUUUCCUGGAUAAAUGUUAUUUGCAAUAUCUUUUAGGAAAAAACAACAUAGAAGUGAGCGAACAGACUAGAUCGGUCACACAUGUACAGAAAAAGAGCAUGAAACCUUUAUUAAUGCUCUCUUAAUGUAUAUGUCCCUCUCGGGUGUCUCCUUCUCCACUCGUGGCUGGCAGGAAUCCAUGGCUCGGAGUUGUGUCCCAUCAUUGUGAUAGAUGACAGGUGAGAGAGUCUCUAUGAUCCCUCUGACACUCUGUAAUCAAGUUAAGAAGGCUGGAUUAGAGGCUCCUUUUGAAAAGGGCUGAGGUCAGUGCUCCAUUCUGCCUGGUGCAUAGUUCCACAGAGCAAGAAAAGGCCUGACAUUGAUUGAAGGAAUGUGUGUGCAUGAGACACAGAGAUAGACGGAGGAGAGCAAAGACAGAGACAGAUAUAGCGCCCGUGGAGGAGAUAGUGCGAGGCUUUGAAGGUGUUCUUAGGUAAGGAUUGAAAACAAAGCUUGCAAAUUGGACCAUUUGCUCUUUAGUGUCAGAUUUUAUCAGCUGUAGUGUGCUAACAUAGCCUGAGCUAAUGCUCACGAGAAAAACUCGCAGGUUGGAAGGCUCGAUCAGUGGGUUGAAAAUUGUGUGUCCAGCUGAAUUGUGAGCUUGCAAAAGAGUCUAAAAUGUGCAGCUGCUCAUAUUUAUUGGCUUAAAUCCUGGUCUGAGCAAAUCGAAACAAUCAGAAUCCAUGACCCCAUAGAGUGUGGAAAACUUCUUGUAAAUCUUAUUCUUUGACAGUAUAGCAUAACUUUUACAUAAACUGAGAUACUUACACUGUUUGAUACUGCUGGGUGUAAAUUUUGCAUAACAAAGUGAAAAGCAGAGGAAUGCCCAGCCAGGGUAUGAGGCAGGACAUCUAUUGCUGUCCUGGAGGGCCAAUCACCAUCUGCCUUGGAUAGAGCAAUCAGCAUGAGAUCCCAUUUCUGACACCAAGUUUGUUUUGGAAAUUGUCCUGUUUCCCUUCUACAGUAGAGUUCAAUAACAGAGUUCACAAAAGGACCUCAAGUCAAACAGUUGUCUUUGUGUAUUUUAUUAUAUUCUUGCAAAUAUAGAAAGAUAGCACAGAGCAAGUAUUGUAAGACAGCUGCAAGGUGCAGUCUUAGGCGUGUUCCUAUUUUAUUUUACACUACGUCAAACUGACAAAACUCAGUGUUCAUACAAGGACUCUCAGUAUUAUUCCCAUCUCAAUCCUCACUACUGAGGGCUUCCCCAGCGGUCUGUUUUGGGUCCUCAACUACUUACUGUGUAUAUGCUUUCCCUGGAGCAAAUUCUUCAUAAACACAGAAAGACUUUCAUUGCUAUGCAGAUGACACCCAGCUCUACAGUAUAUCCUGUCUGCCACAAAUUAAAAAUCAGAUUUAUGAAAUUCAUAUAUUGACAUUUUUAGUACAUGAAAAUGAGACUGACAACAAUUUUAAUUCCAGUUUCCCUUCUUUUCUUGACUCUAACCUUUUGCCUUGUUCUGUGUCUCCUGUAGUGUCCUAUUUAAAUUUGACAGCCCAGAUGAACGGUUAAGGAGACACAGCAGUAAUGGCAGUAAUUCAUCCUUAACUGCUAAAGAAAAUCGUCAUUUUUCAAGGGCUAAUAAUCAGGUAGUGACAGCAAAAGUCCCCCCUAAAGUUCAACCUUCCUCCUCAUCAUGGGAGGUAAAGAGCUUUGGAUGGCCAGUGUUUACUGCUCAGGCUGUUACAAUUGCCAAACCUGGUGCAACUGGGUGGGCUGAACCCCCCCAGAGUUGAUAACAAUGAUUACAACAACAUCUGCAGUGCCUACAGAUAUGAAAAAGCAUUUAUAAUGUGGACAACCAAUGCUUACAACAGGGAUUUAAAUAGGUGUGUAAGUAGGUAAGCGCCAACAAAUUUAUUGCCCUUUAUCGUGCAUCAUUGUACUAAAAGCCAUUCUCAAAUCUCUACUUUGUAUUUUAAAUUCAUAUUUAAGUAAUGUCAGGAAAAAAAAGCUUUUUAAUUAAGAUUUUUCAACACUCAGAAUAUGUCAGAAUAAAAUGCAACUUUUUCACCAAAACUCAUCCUUUUUCUAACUCCACCACUAUCACCUACAUGGGAAGCUGCUCUGUAACACUGCAUUGUCAUGAUUAUGACUACAAUGGGUGGAUUAUGUUUGAGAGCAACAAAGUGGUGUUGAUAGUAAAACAACAACAGCACAGAAUGAAGUUUUUAGAACUUCGAGUUAAAGUUGGUUGGUUUUUGUAGCUUUGGAGGACAUACCACGUCUGGUCUGACUAGUCCAGGCCUAGCCUUCUCUGUCGGGAAACCAUCAAGGACUGAUGUCCUUGCUGAUAUUGACCUUUACGUAGCUAUGUAGUGUUUUCUGAUACAGAGUAAACAUUUUGUUUUUUGAACCUUCAAAUGCAGCACUAACUUGGAAACUUAGACAAUGUAAAUAAGUUU